GGGCCCGCACAAGCAGUGGAGUAUGUGGUUUAAUUCGAAGCAACGCGAAGAACCUUACCAGGUCUUGACAUCCACGUAAUCCCUCAGAGAUGAGGGAGUGCCCUUCGGGGAAAUGUGAGACAGGUGGUGCAUGGUUGUCGUCAGCUCGUGUCGUGAGAUGUUGGGUUAAGUCCCGCAACGAGCGCAACCCUUGUCCUUAGUUGCUACGCAAGAGCACUCUAAAGAGACUGCCGUUGACAAAACGGAGGAAGGUGGGGACGACGUCAAAUCAUCAUGCCCCUUAUGACCUGGGCUACACACGUACUACAAUGGCCGUUAACAGAGGGAAGCAAAGCCGCGAGGCGGAGCAAACCCCUAAAAACGGUCUCAGUUCGGAUCGCAGGCUGCAACCCGCCUGCGUGAAGUCGGAAUUGCUAGUAAUCGCGGAUCAGCAUGCCGCGGUGAAUACGUUCCCGGGCCUU
RNAcentral lists this ribosomal RNA (461 nucleotides) under uncultured bacterium. RNAcentral's name for it is "bacterial SSU rRNA". It matches the Rfam family "Bacterial small subunit ribosomal RNA", at positions 917 to 1382 of the family's 1533-position model. The record is from RNAcentral.